UGCAAGUCGAGCGAACAGACGAGGAGCUUGCUCCUUUGACGUUAGCGGCGGACGGGUGAGUAACACGUGGGUAACCUACCUAUAAGACUGGGAUAACUUCGGGAAACCGGAGCUAAUACCGGAUAAUAUUUCGAACCGCAUGGUUCGAUAGUGAAAGAUGGCUCUGCUAUCACUUAUAGAUGGACCUGCGCCGUAUUAGCUAGUUGGUAAGGUAACGGCUUACCAAGGCAACGAUACGUAGCCGACCUGAGAGGGUGAUCGGCCACACUGGAACUGAGACACGGUCCAGACUCCUACGGGAGGCAGCAGUAGGGAAUCUUCCGCAAUGGGCGAAAGCCUGACGGAGCAACGCCGCGUGAGUGAUGAAGGUCUUCGGAUCGUAAAACUCUGUUAUUAGGGAAGAACAAACGUGUAAGUAACUGUGCACGUCUUGACGGUACCUAAUCAGAAAGCCACGGCUAACUACGUGCCAGCAGCCGCGGUAAUACGUAGGUGGCAAGCGUUAUCCGGAAUUAUUGGGCGUAAAGCGCGCGUAGGCGGUUUUUUAAGUCUGAUGUGAAAGCCCACGGCUCAACCGUGGAGGGUCAUUGGAAACUGGAAAACUUGAGUGCAGAAGAGGAAAGUGGAAUUCCAUGUGUAGCGGUGAAAUGCGCAGAGAUAUGGAGGAACACCAGUGGCGAAGGCGACUUUUCUGGUCUGUAACUGACGCUGAUGUGCGAAAGCGUGGGGAUCAAACAGGAUUAGAUACCCUGGUAGUCCACGCCGUAAACGAUGAGUGCUAAGUGUUAG
RNAcentral lists this ribosomal RNA (789 nucleotides) under Staphylococcus sp. RNAcentral's name for it is "bacterial SSU rRNA". It matches the Rfam family "Bacterial small subunit ribosomal RNA", at positions 56 to 826 of the family's 1533-position model. Lineage: Bacteria; Bacillati; Bacillota; Bacilli; Caryophanales; Staphylococcaceae. The record is from RNAcentral.